AUUGAACGCUGGCGGCAUGCCUUACACAUGCAAGUCGAACGGCAGCACGGGAGCUUGCUCCUGGUGGCGAGUGGCGAACGGGUGAGUAAUACAUCGGAACGUACCCUGAAGUGGGGGAUAACGUAGCGAAAGUUACGCUAAUACCGCAUAUUCUAUGAGCAGGAAAGAGGGGGAUCGCAAGACCUCUUGCUUUAGGAGCGGCCGAUGUCGGAUUAGCUAGUUGGUGAGGUAAAGGCUCACCAAGGCGACGAUCCGUAGCGGGUCUGAGAGGAUGAUCCGCCACACUGGGACCGAGACACGGCCCAGACUCCUACGGGAGGCAGCAGUGGGGAAUUUUGGACAAUGGGCGCAAGCCUGAUCCAGCCAUGCCGCGUGAGUGAAGAAGGG
Molecule: ribosomal RNA, 387 nt
Filed under: uncultured bacterium
Lineage: Bacteria
Description: bacterial SSU rRNA
Rfam family: Bacterial small subunit ribosomal RNA
Source: RNAcentral